CGCCUCUUGUAACCAUGAGAGGUCCAGCCUGCCCAGUGAUCUAAUUCAACGGCCGCGGUAUUCUAACCGUGCAAAGGUAGCGUAAUCACUUGUUUUCUAAAUAAAGACCAGUAUGAAAGGCAUCACGAAGACUUAACUGUCUCCUUUCUCCAAUCAGUGAACCUAAUCUCCCCGUGAAGAAGCGGGAAUCCCCCUAUAAGACGAGAAGACCCCGUGGAGCUUUAAACAUCAUAACAUUUGCCACUAUCUUUAACCACCCAGGUGUCUCCCCCCCUACGGCACUCUGAUUAUAUGUUUUUGGUUGGGGUGACCGUGGAGAAAAACCAAUCCCCCGCAAUGAAAGGAACCUCCCACCCUAAACAACAAGUUACAACUUUAUGUAUCAAAAAAUUGACAUUCAUUGACCCAAUAAUUGAUUAACGAACCAAGUUACCCCGGGGAUAACAGCACAAUCCACUUUAAGAGCCCCUAUCGACAAGUGGGCUUAUGACCUCGAUGUUGGAUCGGGGUAUCCUAGUGGUGCAGCCGCUACUAAAGGUUCGUUUGUUCAACGAUUAAAACCCC
RNAcentral lists this ribosomal RNA (564 nucleotides) under Pristimantis platydactylus (flat-fingered robber frog). Its description in RNAcentral is "partial 16S ribosomal RNA". It matches the Rfam family "Bacterial large subunit ribosomal RNA", at positions 1831 to 2597 of the family's 2925-position model. The record is from RNAcentral. Lineage: Eukaryota; Metazoa; Chordata; Amphibia; Anura; Strabomantidae.